GACGAACGCUGGCGGCGUGCUUAACGCAUGCAAGUCGAACGGAAAGGCCCUGCUUUUGUGGGGUGCUCGAGUGGCGAACGGGUGAGUAACACGUGAGUAACCUGCCCUUGACUUUGGGAUAACUUCAGGAAACUGGGGCUAAUACCGGAUAGGAGCUCCUGCUGCAUGGUGGGGGUUGGAAAGUUUCGGCGGUUGGGGAUGGACUCGCGGCUUAUCAGCUUGUUGGUGGGGUAGUGGCUUACCAAGGCUUUGACGGGUAGCCGGCCUGAGAGGGUGACCGGCCACAUUGGGACUGAGAUACGGCCCAGACUCCUACGGGAGGCAGCAGUGGGGAAUAUUGCACAAUGGGCGGAAGCCUGAUGCAGCAACGCCGCGUGCGGGAUGACGGCCUGCGGGUUGUAAACCGCUGUCGCCUGUGACGAAGCGUGAGUGACGGUAAUGGGUAAAGAAGCACCGGCUAACUACGUG
Molecule: ribosomal RNA, 468 nt
Filed under: uncultured bacterium
Lineage: Bacteria
Description: partial 16S ribosomal RNA
Rfam family: Bacterial small subunit ribosomal RNA
Source: RNAcentral